UACGUAGGUGACGAGCGUUAUCCGGAUUUAUUGGGCGUAAAGCGCACGCAGGCGGCAGAGAAAGUCUGACGUGAAAUCUCCCGGCUUAACUGGGAGCGGAUCGUUGGAAACUACUUGGCUUGAGGCGAUGAGAGGGGUGUGGAAUUCCCGGGUGUAGUGGUGGAAUGCGUAGAUAUCGGGGGGAACAUCAGUGGCGAAAGCGGCACCCUGGCAUUAGCCUGACGCUCAUGUGCGAAAGCGUGGGGAGCGGAACGGGAUUAGAAGAC
RNAcentral lists this ribosomal RNA (266 nucleotides) under uncultured bacterium. Its description in RNAcentral is "partial 16S ribosomal RNA". It matches the Rfam family "Bacterial small subunit ribosomal RNA", at positions 524 to 786 of the family's 1533-position model. The record is from RNAcentral.